RNAcentral lists this ribosomal RNA (465 nucleotides) under uncultured bacterium. RNAcentral describes it as "partial 16S ribosomal RNA". It matches the Rfam family "Bacterial small subunit ribosomal RNA", at positions 28 to 507 of the family's 1533-position model. The record is from RNAcentral.
GACGAACGCUGGCGGCGUGCUUAACACAUGCAAGUCGUACGGUAAGGCCCUUUCGGGGGUACACGAGUGGCGAACGGGUGCGUAACACGUGAGUAACCUGCCCACAACUUUGGGAUAACGCUAGGAAACUGGUGCUAAUACUGGAUAUGUGCCCCUGCUGCAUGGUGGGGGUUGGAAAGCUCCGGCGGUUGUGGAUGGACUCGCGGCCUAUCAGCUUGUUGGUGGGGUAGUGGCCUACCAAGGCGGCGACGGGUAGCCGGCCUGAGAGGGUGACCGGCCACAUUGGGACUGAGAUACGGCCCAGACGCCUACGGGAGGCAGCAGUGGGGAAUAUUGCACAAUGGGCGCAAGCCUGAUGCAGCAACGCCGCGUGCGGGAUGACGGCCUUCGGGUUGUAAACCGCUUUCAGCAGGGACGAAGCUUUUUGUGACGGUACCUGCAGAAGAAGCACCGGCUAACUACGUG